This is a small nucleolar RNA of Meriones unguiculatus (Mongolian gerbil), 128 nucleotides long. The record is from Ensembl. NCBI's taxonomy places the organism in Eukaryota, Metazoa, Chordata, Mammalia, Rodentia, Muridae.
CCAGCGCUUAGAGGCAUUGCAAGUGUGGCUGCUGUGUCACUGUGCUUCAGUAGGGGGCAGAGAGGAGAGAGGCUUUGUCUAUGCUGUGUUCUGACCAAUGACAUCUGCAUGAUUAGUAACCUAACAUU